Molecule: ribosomal RNA, 593 nt
Filed under: Paraburkholderia kururiensis subsp. kururiensis
Lineage: Bacteria; Pseudomonadati; Pseudomonadota; Betaproteobacteria; Burkholderiales; Burkholderiaceae
Description: bacterial SSU rRNA
Rfam family: Bacterial small subunit ribosomal RNA
Source: RNAcentral
CGNAUCCUUAACAUGCAAGUCGGACGGCAGCGCGGGCUUCGGCCUGGCGGCGAGUGGCGAACGGGUGAGUAAUACAUCGGAACGUAUCCUGGAGUGGGGGAUAGCCCGGCGAAAGCCGGAUUAAUACCGCAUACGCUCUGAGGAGGAAAGCGGGGGACCUUCGGGCCUCGCGCUCAAGGGGCGGCCGAUGGCGGAUUAGGUAGUUGGUGGGGUAAAGGCCUACCAAGCCGACGAUCCGUAGCUGGUCUGAGAGGACGACCAGCCACACUGGGACUGAGACACGGCCCAGACUCCUACGGGAGGCAGCAGUGGGGAAUUUUGGACAAUGGGGGCAACCCUGAUCCAGCAAUGCCGCGUGUGUGAAGAAGGCCUUCGGGUUGUAAAGCACUUUUGUCCGGAAAGAAAUCAUCGGGGCCAAUACCCCUGGUGGAUGACGGUACCGGAAGAAUAAGCACCGGCUAACUACGUGCCAGCAGCCGCGGUAAUACGUAGGGUGCGAGCGUUAAUCGGAAUUACUGGGCGUAAAGCGUGCGCAGGCGGUGCUGUAAGACCGAUGUGAAAUCCCCGGGCUUAACCUGGGAACUGCAUUGGUG